RNAcentral lists this ribosomal RNA (337 nucleotides) under uncultured bacterium. Its description in RNAcentral is "bacterial SSU rRNA". It matches the Rfam family "Bacterial small subunit ribosomal RNA", at positions 335 to 664 of the family's 1533-position model. The record is from RNAcentral.
ACUCCUACGGGAGGCAGCAGUGGGGAAUAUUGCACAAUGGGCGCAAGCCUGAUGCAGCCAUGCCGCGUGUAUGAAGAAGGCCUUCGGGUUGUAAAGUACUUUCAGCAGUGAGGAAGGUGGUAGUGUUAAUAGCACUAUCAUUUGACGUUAGCUGCAGAAGAAGCACCGGCUAACUCCGUGCCAGCAGCCGCGGUAAUACGGAGGGUGCGAGCGUUAAUCGGAAUUACUGGGCGUAAAGCGCAUGCAGGUGGUUUGUUAAGUCAGAUGUGAAAGCCCGGGGCUUAACCUCGGAAUUGCAUUUGAAACUGGCAGGCUAGAGUCUUGUAGAGGGGGGUAG